AUUGAACGCUAGCGGGAUGCUUUACACAUGCAAGUCGAACGGCAGCGCGGACUUCGGUCUGGCGGCGAGUGGCGAACGGGUGAGUAAUGUAUCGGAACGUGCCCAGUAGCGGGGGAUAACUACGCGAAAGCGUAGCUAAUACCGCAUACGCCCUACGGGGGAAAGCAGGGGAUCGUAAGACCUUGCACUAUUGGAGCGGCCGAUAUCGGAUUAGCUAGUUGGUGAGGUAACGGCUCACCAAGGCGACGAUCCGUAGCUGGUUUGAGAGGACGACCAGCCACACUGGGACUGAGACACGGCCCAGACUCCUACGGGAGGCAGCAGUGGGGAAUUUUGGACAAUGGGGGAAACCCUGAUCCAGCCAUCCCGCGUGUGCGAUGAAGGCCUUCGGGUUGUAAAGCACUUUUGGCAGGAAAGAAACGUCGCGGGCUAAUACCCCGUGGAACUGACGGUACCUGCAGAAUAAGCACCGGCUAACUACGUG
Molecule: ribosomal RNA, 484 nt
Filed under: uncultured bacterium
Lineage: Bacteria
Description: partial 16S ribosomal RNA
Rfam family: Bacterial small subunit ribosomal RNA
Source: RNAcentral